UACGUAGGAGGCAAGCGUUGUCCGGAAUUACUGGGUGUAAAGCGCGUGUAGGCGGCAGGCCAAGUCUGUGGUGAAAUCGCUCGGCUCAACUGGGCGGGGUCCAUGGAAACUGGUCAGCUGGAGGACGGUAGAGGUGAGUGGAAUUCCCGGUGUAGUGGUGAAAUGCGUAGAGAUCGGGAGGAACACCCGUGGCGAAGGCGGCUCACUGGGCCGGUCCUGACGUUGAGACGCGAAGGCGUGGGGAGCGAACGGG
RNAcentral lists this ribosomal RNA (253 nucleotides) under uncultured bacterium. RNAcentral describes it as "partial 16S ribosomal RNA". It matches the Rfam family "Bacterial small subunit ribosomal RNA", at positions 524 to 776 of the family's 1533-position model. The record is from RNAcentral.